Non-coding RNA from Myotis brandtii (Brandt's bat), 72 nucleotides. NCBI's taxonomy places the organism in Eukaryota, Metazoa, Chordata, Mammalia, Chiroptera, Vespertilionidae. The record is from Rfam.
GCCAGUUUUCUCAAUGGUUAGAGAAUUUGCCUGAAGAACAAAGGGUCACAGGUUCAAUUCCAGUCAAGGGCA